Amblyraja radiata (thorny skate) is the source of this 117-nucleotide long non-coding RNA. RefSeq lists it as uncharacterized. The record is from RefSeq and is a predicted model, not a curated record. Lineage: Eukaryota; Metazoa; Chordata; Chondrichthyes; Rajiformes; Rajidae. The transcript has 3 exons.
ACAGGUGCACAGAACUUGCUGAUGUAAAGGGCCUGUCCCACUUGGCCAUCAUUUACGCCUCAUGUACGCGUUAUAUGUAAAUUAGGUCGACGCGUCGUGAUGCGUGGGGUGCACAUG